Molecule: RNA transcript, 575 nt
Organism: Pleuronectes platessa (European plaice)
Lineage: Eukaryota; Metazoa; Chordata; Actinopteri; Pleuronectiformes; Pleuronectidae
Gene name: mitoregulin
Exons: 2
Source: RefSeq, a predicted model, not a curated record
UCAUGCCGCCGUCUCCAACGUGCGCUCCACCGCCGUCUGCGCUCCAGAGGUGAACAUGGCAGUCGUCUCGGACAGGUCGCUGCAAGUGGCCGUGGUGGUGUCGUUCGCCGCCGGCUUCGUGGCGGGCUGGCAGGCCAACAGGAUGAGGAGGAGGUUCCUGGACUGGAGGAAGAAGCGGCUGCAAGACCAACUGUCAGCGACUCAGAAGAAGCUGGAUCUGGCCUGAGAGGUCAGGACAAGUACUCAGCUGCUGUGGGACUACAGGCCUGUACUCAUAGGAGAAAUCCUUGGUUCAGAUCCGGAAGAAGCUGCUGUCUCCUGGACGAAUGGAGAAGACUCCUCAUCGUGAUCGACCUGCUCUGCCACCCUGUUCCUGCCACACCUUCCUGAUCAAGAAUGGACUUGAUAUUUACUAUAUGGAAACACAACCAUACACACCUACACAUGGCAGCUUCCUGCCUGCCCUCAGACUCUAGUGCGAUCAAAUACAUGAACUGUGUCUGCAGUGUUUUUCCUUCUCGGCGUGUCUCCUGUCUACAUCUGGUCCAAUAAAUGAUUGUGUUUUUCAUGUUUUA